This 429-nucleotide ribosomal RNA is filed under the name Fusobacteriota bacterium. RNAcentral's name for it is "Fusobacteria bacterium partial 16S ribosomal RNA". It matches the Rfam family "Bacterial small subunit ribosomal RNA", at positions 355 to 776 of the family's 1533-position model. Lineage: Bacteria; Fusobacteriati; Fusobacteriota. The record is from RNAcentral.
UAGGGAAUCUUCCACAAUGGACGCAAGUCUGAUGGAGCAACGCCGCGUGAGUGAAGAAGGUUUUCGGAUCGUAAAGCUCUGUUGUUGGUGAAGAAGGAUAGAGGUAGUAACUGGCCUUUAUUUGACGGUAAUCAACCAGAAAGUCACGGCUAACUACGUGCCAGCAGCCGCGGUAAUACGUAGGUGGCAAGCGUUGUCCGGAUUUAUUGGGCGUAAAGCGAGCGCAGGCGGAAGAAUAAGUCUGAUGUGAAAGCCCUCGGCUUAACCGAGGAACUGCAUCGGAAACUGUUUUUCUUGAGACCAGAAGAGGUGAGUGGAACUCCAUGUGUAGCGGUGGAAUGCGUAGAUAUAUGGAAGAACACCAGUGGCGAAGGCGACUCUCUGGUCUGCAACUGACGCUGAGGCUCGAAAGCAUGGGUAGCGAACAGG